This 273-nucleotide ribosomal RNA is filed under the name uncultured bacterium. RNAcentral's name for it is "partial 16S ribosomal RNA". It matches the Rfam family "Bacterial small subunit ribosomal RNA", at positions 524 to 796 of the family's 1533-position model. The record is from RNAcentral.
UACGGAGGGAGCUAGCGUUGUUCGGAAUUACUGGGCGUAAAGCGCACGUAGGCGGCUUUGUAAGUUAGAGGUGAAAGCCCGGGGCUCAACUCCGGAAUUGCCUUUAAGACUGCAUCGCUUGAAUCCGGGAGAGGUGAGUGGAAUUCCGAGUGUAGAGGUGAAAUUCGUAGAUAUUCGGAAGAACACCAGUGGCGAAGGCGGCUCACUGGACCGGUAUUGACGCUGAGGUGCGAAAGCGUGGGGAGCAAACAGGAUUAGAAACCCCCGUAGUCC